This 286-nucleotide long non-coding RNA is filed under the name Mytilus galloprovincialis (Mediterranean mussel). The record is from RNAcentral. Lineage: Eukaryota; Metazoa; Mollusca; Bivalvia; Mytilida; Mytilidae.
AUUAGUUUGUGAUUAGGUCUAGUUUAUGGUGAACCACUAGUGGUAAGUCAAAGAUAUUUGGUAUGCAGUUAUAUAAGUAUUGGCACAUCUUAUUACCAUGGGGAUUAUUUGACCCCGUCCCCUCAGUUAUUGUCUAUUGACUUUGAAACUUUUGCGUAGUUUUCAUGUAUUAGUUUGUGAUUAGGUCAGUUUACGGGGAACCAGUAGUGGUAGGUUAAUGAUAUUUGGUAUGCAGUUGUAUCAACAGUGGCACAUCUCAUUACCAUGGAUUUUUUUUUACCCUCCC